Molecule: non-coding RNA, 231 nt
Organism: Vicia faba (fava bean)
Lineage: Eukaryota; Viridiplantae; Streptophyta; Magnoliopsida; Fabales; Fabaceae
Source: the annotation of a GenBank genome assembly
AUGCAGACUAGACAUGAAAUUGGCUAUUUGAUCAACCAUAAAAGAACUUUUUUGGUUCUAACUUCUAAGCCUAAUAGUUCCAAGCUCUUAACAUUUUCACAGGUAGACUCAGAAUUUGUGGAAGUAUUAGCAUUCAUGUAUCUAUCAUGUUUACAUAUAAGUAUAUGUCAUUUCAUUUUUAUAGCAGCAAUUGAGUCAGAAUUUUUGCAGUGCUACAGAGCUAUUUACUAA